Molecule: ribosomal RNA, 494 nt
Filed under: uncultured bacterium
Lineage: Bacteria
Description: partial 16S ribosomal RNA
Rfam family: Bacterial small subunit ribosomal RNA
Source: RNAcentral
GACGAACGCUGGCGGCGUGCUUAACACAUGCAAGUCGAACGGAAAGGCCUGCUUUCCCUUGUGGAUUGCGGGUACUCGAGUGGCGAACGGGUGAGUAACACGUGAGUGAUCUGCCCCCAACUUGGGUAUAAGCCUGGGAAACUGGGUCUAAUUCCCGAUAGGACUGCAGGGUGGUGCCUGUGGUGGAAAACGAUCUUCUAGUGGUUGGGGGUGAGCUCGCGGCCUAUCAGCUUGUUGGUGGGGUAAUGGCCUACCAAGGCGGCGACGGGUAGCCGGCCUGAGAGGGUGGACGGCCACAUUGGGACUGAGAUACGGCCCAGACUCCUACGGGAGGCAGCAGUGGGGAAUAUUGCACAAGGGGCGGAAGCCUGAUGCAGCGACGCCGCGUGGGGGAUGACGGCCUUCGGGUUGUAAACUCCUUUCGACCGCGAGGAAGCCACCUGGUUGGAAGGGUGGUGACGGUAGUGGUAGAAGAAGCACCGGCUAACUACGUG